Homo sapiens (human) is the source of this 1145-nucleotide long non-coding RNA. RefSeq lists it as uncharacterized. The transcript has 2 exons. NCBI's taxonomy places the organism in Eukaryota, Metazoa, Chordata, Mammalia, Primates, Hominidae. The record is from RefSeq and is a predicted model, not a curated record.
UGCCCGGGCUGAACUGAAACUCUGAGAUCAAGCAAUCCUCCCACCUUAGCCUCCCGAGUAUCUGGCUUGUGCCACCCCUCCCAGCUAAAUAUUUCAGCAACUUCAGAGGCACUUAAUUUUCCUCCUUUUGUAAACUGGCAAUCUUGACUCUAACAUUGCUAGGAAUUACUUAUCUAUAUUUGUCCUUAAAUACAAGACUAUUAAAAAAAAAUCAAGGGCUGCUUUCUGCCCGUGGAUACCGCUGAGGAAGCCUCGUUAAAGUCUCUCUUCCCAGGGCCGUCCUGUCCUAAAGAGCCGGAACAGCUGCGGAAGCUCUUCAUGGGAGGGCUGAGCUUUGAAACAACCGAUGAGAGCCUGAGGAGCCCUUCUGAGCAGUGGAGAAGGCUCACAGAUUGUGUGGACUCCAAGUGAAGGUGAAAGAGACCAGACGAGACCUUUCCUAAUUCCAUUCAUCUCUGAGGGAUUUAUAAGGAAGUUACCAACCCCUGGUCUAAAUAAUCAAACAGAGAAAAGAAGAAAAGGAAAAAAGGAUCAGAGGACACAGAAGAAUUUCUGGACACACUUCCAUCUGCUAAUUAAAUGGAAGGAGCAAGUUUGGGUUUUUUUGUUUUUCCUCUACCUCAAUCAAAGACUAUGAAUCUUUCUUUUAAUCUCUGGAGCUAACUUCUCUAAUUAGUUUCCUAGAGGAAGAGGAUGCUUUACUAUUGGCAUUUCACACUCUGCACAAUGGUAUGAACUUGACAUACCUCAGCUGAUCCAGCAGAAAGAGCUCUAAAACUCAAAAGUUAUGUCAUCAGUAACUGUCAAUAGAUAGAAGUGUUCGCAGGUACUACUAGUUCCAAUACUCAUUGACUUUGUAACAACUGGUAUAUUAGCUACAAUCAAACAAAAUGAGGUAUUCUUUACAAGAAUUACAUAAGCCCUUUCCAAUAAAUUUUCUGUAACGAUGGAAAUAUUCUAUAAUCUGUCUAGAUAACUAGUUUGGGAUGAGGUGAGGGGGAAGGAGAGAUUACAAAAGGGCUUGGAGGAAACUUUUAAGCAUAAAAGAUGUGUUCAUUCCUUUGAGCAUAUUGAUGGUUUCAAAUUUCAUUUUAAAUUUGUCAAAGUACAUAUGUUAAAUAUAUACUGUUUACUUUUUACCUCUA